Molecule: transfer RNA, 74 nt
Filed under: Camelus bactrianus (Bactrian camel)
Lineage: Eukaryota; Metazoa; Chordata; Mammalia; Artiodactyla; Camelidae
Also listed under: 1 other name
Rfam family: tRNA
About the family: Transfer RNA (tRNA) molecules are approximately 80 nucleotides in length. Their secondary structure includes four short double-helical elements and three loops (D, anti-codon, and T loops). Further hydrogen bonds mediate the characteristic L-shaped molecular structure. tRNAs have two regions of fundamental functional importance: the anti-codon, which is responsible for specific mRNA codon recognition, and the 3' end, to which the tRNAs corresponding amino acid is attached (by aminoacyl-tRNA synthetases). tRNAs cope with the degeneracy of the genetic code in two manners: having more than one tRNA (with a specific anti-codon) for a particular amino acid; and 'wobble' base-pairing, i.e. permitting non-standard base-pairing at the 3rd anti-codon position.
Source: Rfam by way of RNAcentral
GAGGGCAGAGCUCAGUGGUAGAGCACAUGCUUAGCAUGUGGGUUCCAUCCUGGGUUCAAUCCCCAGUCCCUCCA